CAGCCGCCGCGGUAAUACGAAGGGGGCUAGCGUUGCUCGGAAUGACUGGGCGUAAAGGGCGCGUAGGCGGAUCACGCAGUCAGAUGUGAAAUUCCUGGGCUUAACCUGGGGGCUGCAUUUGAGACGCGUGGUCUAGAGUGUGAAAGAGGGUCGUGGAAUUCCCAGUGUAGAGGUGAAAUUCGUAGAUAUUGGGAAGAACACCGGUGGCGAAAGCACUCUGCUGGGCCGACACUGACACUGAGAGACGAAAGCUAGGGGAGCAAAUGGGAUUAGAUACCCGAGUAGUCCCUGUCUCUUAUAC
RNAcentral lists this ribosomal RNA (301 nucleotides) under uncultured bacterium. RNAcentral's name for it is "partial 16S ribosomal RNA". It matches the Rfam family "Bacterial small subunit ribosomal RNA", at positions 509 to 807 of the family's 1533-position model. The record is from RNAcentral.